RNAcentral lists this ribosomal RNA (1471 nucleotides) under uncultured marine bacterium. Its description in RNAcentral is "16S ribosomal RNA". It matches the Rfam family "Bacterial small subunit ribosomal RNA". The record is from RNAcentral.
UCAUGGCUCAGGAUGAACGCUAGCGGCAGGCUUAACACACGCAAGUCGAGGGGUAACGGGGAAGCUUGCUUCCGCCGACGACCGGCGCACGGGUGCGUAACGCGUAUACAAUCUACCUUAUACUGGGGUAUAGCCUUUAGAAAUGAAGAUUAACCCCCCAUAGUCUCUUAGAGUGGCAUCACUUCUAGAGUAAAGGUUACGGUAUAAGAUGAGUAUGCGUUCUAUUAGUUUGUUGGUGUGGUAACGGCACACCAAGACUACGAUAGAUAGGGGCCCUGAGAGGGGGAUCCCCCACACUGGUACUGAGACACGGACCAGACUCCUACGGGAGGCAGCAGUGAGGAAUAUUGGACAAUGGAGGCAACUCUGAUCCAGCCAUGCCGCGUGCAGGAAGACUGCCCUAUGGGUUGUAAACUGCUUUUAUACAGGAAGAAACACCUCUACGUGUAGAGGCUUGACGGUACUGUAAGAAUAAGGAUCGGCUAACUCCGUGCCAGCAGCCGCGGUAAUACAGAGGAUCCAAGCGUUAUCCGGAAUCAUUGGGUUUAAAGGGUCCGUAGGUGGAUAAUUAAGUCAGAGGUGAAAUCUUGCAGCUCAACUGUAAAAUUGCCUUUGAAACUGGUUAUCUUGAGUUAUUAUGAAGUAGUUAGAAUAUGUAGUGUAGCGGUGAAAUGCAUAGAUAUUACAUAGAAUACCAAUUGCGAAGGCAGAUUACUAAUAAUCAACUGACACUGAUGGACGAAAGCGUGGGUAGCGAACAGGAUUAGAUACCCUGGUAGUCCACGCCCGUAACGAUGGUUACUAGCUGUUUGGACUUCGGUCUGAGUGGAUAAGCGAAAGUGAUAAGUACCCACCUGGGGAGUACGUUUGCAAGAAUGAAACUCAAAGGAAUUGACGGGGGCCCGCACAAGCGGUGGAGCAUGUGGUUUAAUUCGAUGAUACGCGAGGAACCUUACCAGGGAUUAAAUGUAAGUUGCAUUAGUUAGAGAUAGCUAUUUCUUCGGACCACUUACAAGGUGCUGCAUGGUUGUCGUCAGCUCGUGCCGUGAGGUGUCAGGUUAAGUCCUAUAACGAGCGCAACCCCUGUUGUUAGUUGCCAGCGAGUCAUGUCGGGAACUCUAGCAAGACUGCCAGUGCAAACUGUGAGGAAGGUGGGGAUGACGUCAAAUCAUCACGGCCCUUACGUCCUGGGCUACACACGUGCUACAAUGGUAGGUACAGAGAGCAGCCACUGCGCGAGCAGGAGCGAAUCUACAAAACCUAUCACAGUUCGGAUCGGAGUCUGCAACUCGACUCCGUGAAGCUGGAAUCGCUAGUAAUCGGAUAUCAGCCAUGAUCCGGUGAAUACGUUCCCGGGCCUUGUACACACCGCCCGUCAAGCCAUGGAAGUUGGAAGUGCCUGAAGUCGGUCACCGCAAGGAGCGGCCUAGGGUAAAGUCGAUAUCUAGGGCUAAGUCGUAACAAGGUAACC